This 445-nucleotide ribosomal RNA is filed under the name uncultured bacterium. RNAcentral describes it as "bacterial SSU rRNA". It matches the Rfam family "Bacterial small subunit ribosomal RNA", at positions 331 to 792 of the family's 1533-position model. The record is from RNAcentral.
CCAGACUCCUACGGGAGGCAGCAGUGGGGAAUAUUGCACAAUGGGGGGAACCCUGAUGCAGCGACGCCGCGUGAGUGAAGAAGUAUUUCGGUAUGUAAAGCUCUAUCAGCAGGGAAGAAGAUGACGGUACCUGACUAAGAAGCCCCGGCUAACUACGUGCCAGCAGCCGCGGUAAUACGUAGGGGGGCAAGCGUUAUCCGGAUUUACUGGGUGUAAAGGGAGCGUAGACGGCAGGGCAAGUCUGGAGUGAAAGCCCGGGGCCCAACCCCGGGACUGCUUUGGAAACUGCCAUGCUGGAGUGCUGGAGAGGUAAGCGGAAUUCCUAGUGUAGCGGUGAAAUGCGUAGAUAUUAGGAGGAACACCAGUGGCGAAGGCGGCUUACUGGACAGUAACUGACGUUGAGGCUCGAAAGCGUGGGGAGCAAACAGGAUUAGAUACCCGGGUA